CUGUGGCUGAAACAUAUUUGCAGAACACAGAUCUAGGCUCAUUCCCUAAUUUUACAUAUGAGGAAGCUGAGGCUUGGGGAAGUGAAAUGACAUCACUAAGUUAAAGCAGAGCUGGAGACAGUACUCAACGGUCUGUAUCAGUCGGGGGACUUGGUUGCUGGUUAGAUGCCAAUUCUGGAUAAUCAAAGCAAAGACUCACAGGGGCUUGCAAAAUUGACAGGAGCCUGAUAGGCUUGGAAAUGGCCAGAACCACGAGCACACUGGAAGGCCAAGAAGCUGGACAGAGUUCACAGAAAGUCCAUAAAUAGUCUCAUAACCAGAGGAGCCUGUAGAAAUGUUGAUGCCUCUCCUGCCUCUUCUGCAAUGCAUGGCACCAACCUUCUCCUCUGAUAUGGUUCGACUGUGUCCCCACCCAAAUUUCAUCUAGAAUCUCCACAGGGACCCCGUGGGAGGUACUUGAAUCAUGGGGGUGGUUACCUCCAUGUUGUUCUUGUGAUAGUGAGUGAGUUCUCACGGGAUUUGAUGGUUUUAUAAGGGGCUUCCCCCGUCUUUGCUCUGAGCUUCUUGCUGCCGCCAUGUGAAGAACGACAUGUUUGCUUCCCCUUCUGCCAUGAUUGUAAAUUUCCUGAGGCCCCCCAGCCCUGCAGAACUGAGUCAAUUAAACCUGUUUCCCUUACAAAUUGCUCAGUCUCAGGUAUUUCCUCAUAGCAGCAUGAGAACGGAGUAAUACACCCUCUUAUUCUCAUGUCACUUGAUUUAAAGUCCCAGGAGAGAGUCCAUGAUUGGCUGGGUUGAAGUCACAUGCUCACACUCGGGCUGGAUGGGAGCCAGGAGAAACAGGUCUGGCCCCUUGAGCAUCCCUAGUGGGAGCACUGCCCACAAUUAGCCAUCCACAUUGGGGAAGGGUAAUGCCCCAAAGGGAAUUUUGGCUAUUGAGAAGGGGAAAUGGAUGUGGGCAGCCCAAAGGGCAACUAAAGGGAGCCUGAUGGCGCAUAGCAGAUCCCGAUAACAUGGACACUUUGUCUCAAGCAGAAAGAGCUACAGCAGGGAGAAAAGGAUCUUUGCUGAUGUUGAACAUCAACAGGGAAUCCAGGCCUGAGCGGAUUCACGCAUGACGUCUCCCUGGACACAGGGAUGGGUUCACAAAGGGGUUGGAGUCACUGAGAUGUGAGGAGAAGUCUGCUGGCAGCUUCUGGGACAUUACACCCUGGUGCUGAAGAGAUCGCUGCCGGAAGAGGCUGUCUUCCUGGGCAUGUUGUCAGCAAACGGAAACCUAACAGAGACACUGUAAAGGCUACUAUUCCAAUUUUUCUGGAAUUAGUGCUGGGAGAACCCUGACAGAGCCCUUCUCCUCUUCUGUCUUCGAUAGCCGGGGGCGGGCCGACCCAGCACGCAGGAGGCUUGCACCGCAAAGCCUUCUCGCUGAACCAGGCAGCAGAUCCAUCCCACGGGGCUUCCUCCCACGUGAGAAACGUAGGAAAAGACGCUGCAAAUCAAAGACGACCACCCUGGAGAAGCAGGAGAAACUCCCCAACUUGAGUGAAUGUAUCAACAUUUCAGAAAAUGUAGGAGGUGGAUGUUACUGUUUAAUCUGCUCAGCAUCCUUCCCCCACCCCUUUUGAUAACUGGCCUCAUCCACUGGACACACUUCUUGGAAUGAGACCCGGGCUAGGCCAAUCAGCCUCUCCCUGAAGUGUUUCCCUGAAGCUGGAAGAGAGGAACUCUGUUCCCUCUUGGAUUACAGAGCUGAAAGGAGAUGAAUUUGAUGCUACUAGUGUUCAUGUUUCUAACCAAGGGAGAUGGGGCCUAGCAAGCCUUAAUGGUCUUCAUAUAUUUUCCAUCAGACCUUUUAAGCUUCCCCCAUGGUGACCAGCCCCAGAGUAAUGCACAUUUAAUUCAACUUUCAAUGCAGGAAAAUCAAUUGCAUUGCACCACAGACUGUUUAUUACACGUAAUCUGAAGUUCAACACAUAAAGAAAUAAGCAAUAUACACAAACCAUGGCACUUAAGAGUUCAAUUUGGGGACCUAUUUCCCCCCAGAAAUCAAAAUACUUAUAUUGUCCUAAAAUAUUUCACAUUAUAAAAUAAAGUUUUUCUGUUUUUUUUUGUUUUUUAAUCCAGGCUGGAAUUGCUUGAAACUUUUUUUUUCCUUUGACUUUUAUUUUAAGUUCAGGGGUACAUGUGCAGGAUGUGCAAGUUUGUUACAUAGGUAAAUGUGUGCCAUGGGAAACUUUUAAAAUAAUAAUUAUGAUGGCUUUUAUUUUAACAAUGCUUUAUAGUUCACAAAUUGUUUUCAGAUAUCUUACCCUAUUUUGAUCUUCCUCCUCAAAUGCUUGUGAAUUAGAUAGGACAAGUAAACCCAUUUAGCAGAUGAAGAAACUGAGCGAUGAGAAGAGCCCAACUACAAGAAUGAGGAGCGCCUAACACCCACCCAGUCUAGGAUGUUAUUAAUCCCAAAAGAACUUCAUUCUAUUUGGAGCUCGUGGGGGUGGAGAGAUGGAAGCAGGAAGAACCUAAAUUGUGUCUACCACUGGAAUUCAGAUUUGUCUUGACUUGAUAAGGUAGGCUCACCAGAAGGCUUUAUGUUUUCUGCUAGUUUGUUUUGUAGGUUUUUAGAGAUCUCUCAGGUGGAGAGGGUUGAAUUCAUCAUACCCCUCAAUUCAUGGUACGUUAUCAUCACCAAGGAACUGCUCUUGUUUUAUUCAAUUACGUACUUUCCUUUUAUACACCAUCCAUAUUCCUUUUUUUUUUUUUUUUUUGACAAGGUUUCACUCUGUUGCCCAGACUGGAGUGCAGUGGCACAAUCAUAGCUCAUUAUAGCCUUGACUUCCUGGGCUCGAUAGAUCUGCCUGCCUCAGCCUCCUGAGUAGCUGGGACUACAGGUAUGUGCCACCACACCCAGCUAAUUUUUUUGUAUUUUUUGUAGAGAUGGGCUUUCACCAUGUUGCCCAGGCUAGUCUUGAAUUCCUGGGCUCAAACGAUCUGCCCAUCUAGGCUUCCUAAAGUGUUGGGAUUACAGGUGUGAGCCACGGAACCCAGCCCAUGCUCCGUUUAUAUAGAGUUCAAAAUAGGCAAGGCUAUUCUCUAGUUUCCAGGGUGGGGGUGCAGAUAAUACUUUAGUUUUUUUUUUUUAAUCUGGAUCAUGUUUAUAUAGAGUUAUUCAUUUUGCAAAAAUCUAUUGUGCUGUGUACUUAAUAAUUGGUGUAGCUUUCUG
Molecule: long non-coding RNA, 3214 nt
Filed under: Homo sapiens (human)
Lineage: Eukaryota; Metazoa; Chordata; Mammalia; Primates; Hominidae
Description: HSALNT0238804
Source: RNAcentral